Long non-coding RNA from Topomyia yanbarensis, 264 nucleotides. RefSeq lists it as uncharacterized. The transcript is spliced from 3 exons. Lineage: Eukaryota; Metazoa; Arthropoda; Insecta; Diptera; Culicidae. The record is from RefSeq and is a predicted model, not a curated record.
CCAAAACAACAGGAUUUAUAAGAUGCUCUGGCCGGUUAUCGUAACAUUCCACGGUUAAAUAAUAAAUCUGCUAGGGGAACGCUUCCCGAGAAGAAGACAAUUUACGAGACUAUUUUACAGAUCACAAUGACCUGGUGCAACCUAUCGAGGUCCGGACCGCUCAAUGGUUCCUGGCUUCAAAUCAGCCACGGAAAAUACUCCAAUCGACUUACCCGAUUCCGUGGCAAGCUCAUGCGAGCUAGUACCGAUUCGCGCCAGUACUAU